Molecule: ribosomal RNA, 630 nt
Filed under: Triticum aestivum (bread wheat)
Lineage: Eukaryota; Viridiplantae; Streptophyta; Magnoliopsida; Poales; Poaceae
Description: partial small subunit ribosomal RNA
Source: RNAcentral
AUGAGCCAUACAAUGAAGCUAUGGGAGAGAGUCAUUGAGCACCGCUUAAGAAGAAUGACAAGCGUGACCAAAAAUCAGUUUGGUUUCAUGCCUGGGAGGUCGACCAUGGAAGCCAUUUUCUUGGUACGACAACUUAUGGAGAGAUAUAGGGAGCAUAAGAAGGACUUGCAUAUGGUGUUCAUUGACUUGGAGAAGGCCUAUGAUAAGAUACCGCGGAAUGUCAUGUGGUGGGCCUUGGAGAAACACGAAGUCCCAGCAAAGUACAUUACCCUCAUCAAGGACAUGUACAAUAAUGUUGUGACAAGUGUUCGAACAAGUGAUGUCGACACCGAUGACUUCCCGAUUAAGAUAGGACUGCAUCAGGGGUCAGCUUUGAGCCCUUAUCUUUUUGCAUUGGUGAUGGAUGAGGUCACAAGGGGUAUACAAGGAGAUAUCCCAUGGUGUAUGCUCUUUGCGGAUGAUGUGGUGCUAGUUGACGAUAGUCGGACGGGGGUAAGUAGGAAGUUAGAGUUAUGGAGACAAACUUUGGAAUCAAAAGGGUUUAGGCUUAGUAGAACUAAAACCGAGUACAUGAUGUGCGGUUUCAGUACUACUAGCUGUGAGGAGGAGGAGGUUAGCCUUGAUGGCUAG